Molecule: ribosomal RNA, 251 nt
Filed under: uncultured bacterium
Lineage: Bacteria
Description: partial 16S ribosomal RNA
Rfam family: Bacterial small subunit ribosomal RNA
Source: RNAcentral
CGUAGGUGCAAGCGUUAUCCGGAAUUAUUGGGCGUAAAGGGCUCGUAGGCGGUUCGUCGCGUCCGGUGUGAAAGUCCAUCGCUUAACGGUGGAUCCGCGCCGGUACGGGCGGGCUUGAGUGCGGUAGGGAGACUGGAAUUCCCGGUGUAACGGUGGAAUGUGUAGAUAUCGGGAAGAACACCAAUGGCGAAGGCAGGUCUCUGGGCCGUUACUGACGCUGAGGAGCGAAAGCGUGGGGAGCGAACAGGAUU